Molecule: ribosomal RNA, 484 nt
Filed under: uncultured bacterium
Lineage: Bacteria
Description: partial 16S ribosomal RNA
Rfam family: Bacterial small subunit ribosomal RNA
Source: RNAcentral
AUUGAACGCUGGCGGCAGGCCUAACACAUGCGAGUCGAGCGGAUGAAGGGAGCUUGCUCCUGGAUUCAGCGGCGGACGGGUGAGUAAUGCCUAGGAAUCUGCCUGGUAGUGGGGGAUAACGUCCGGAAACGGGCGCUAAUACCGCAUACGUCCUGAGGGAGAAAGUGGGGGAUCUUCGGACCUCACGCUAUCAGAUGAGCCUAGGUCGGAUUAGCUAGUUGGUGGGGUAAAGGCCUACCAAGGCGACGAUCCGUAACUGGUCUGAGAGGAUGAUCAGUCACACUGGAACUGAGACACGGUCCAGACUCCUACGGGAGGCAGCAGUGGGGAAUAUUGGACAAUGGGCGAAAGCCUGAUCCAGCCAUGCCGCGUGUGUGAAGAAGGUCCUCGGAUUGUAAAGCACUUUAAGUUGGGAGGAAGGGCAGUAAGUUAAUACCUUGCUGUUUUGACGUUACCAACAGAAUAAGCACCGGCUAACUUCGUG